Molecule: ribosomal RNA, 368 nt
Filed under: uncultured organism
Description: bacterial SSU rRNA
Rfam family: Bacterial small subunit ribosomal RNA
Source: RNAcentral
CGGAGGGUGCAAGCGUUAUCCGGAUUCACUGGGUUUAAAGGGUGCGUAGGUGGGCAAGUAAGUCAGUGGUGAAAUCUCCGGGCUUAACCCGGAAACUGCCAUUGAUACUAUUUGUCUUGAAUACUGUGGAGGUCAGCGGAAUAUGUCAUGUAGCGGUGAAAUGCUUAGAUAUGACAUAGAACACCAAUUGCGAAGGCAGCUGGCUACACAAAUAUUGACACUGAGGCACGAAAGCGUGGGGAUCAAACAGGAUUAGAUACCCUGGUAGUCCACGCCCUAAACUAUCGGAUACUCGACAUUUGCGAUAAACUGCAAGUGUCUGAGCGAAAGCAUUAAGUAUCCCACUGGGAAGUACGAUCGCAAGAUUG